Molecule: unclassified non-coding RNA, 429 nt
Filed under: Xanthophytum sp. cz30
Lineage: Eukaryota; Viridiplantae; Streptophyta; Magnoliopsida; Gentianales; Rubiaceae
Description: partial external transcribed spacer
Source: RNAcentral
AGUAGCAUUCCUCAUUGACACCAGCAUUGCAAGAUGAUUGCUAAACCUCAUUAGAUCUAGCCACCACCUUAAUACAACGCUGGACGUCGUUCAUUUCGAGCGAAUUACGCUAAUUUUGGGCAAAAAAGGGUCGUUCACCCCGUACCCAUUAGGUAUUCCGCAUCCGAGAGCACGAGCAACAACUCACGUGCCGCGACAACACCCAAGUUGAGUGGCGCGGAAGGCAAUUAUUGCUAUGUGGUUCACCGUAAGCAGCACAUUUAGAAGGGCCAGCACUAGGCGAACGUUGGAUGAUUUGACAACCGAAUUCCAUUGCAGUAGGUACGCAACACAGGAAACCCACAAUUACGGCCAAGGCUAAUGUUGCUCUUGAACCAAUAGGUGAAGAGGAAUUCAUAGGAGGUCGUCGCUGCCCAAGCAGGGAUCCAA